This 1446-nucleotide ribosomal RNA is filed under the name uncultured organism. RNAcentral's name for it is "16S ribosomal RNA". It matches the Rfam family "Bacterial small subunit ribosomal RNA". The record is from RNAcentral.
CAGGCUUAACACAUGCAAGUCGAGGGGCAGCAUGGUCUUAGCUUGCUAAGGCCGAUGGCGACCGGCGCACGGGUGAGUAACACGUAUCCAACCUGCCGUCUACUCUUGGACAGCCUUCUGAAAGGAAGAUUAAUACAAGAUGGCAUCAUGAGUCCACAUGUUCACAUGAUUAAAGGUAUUCCGGUAGACGAUGGGGAUGCGUUCCAUUAGAUAGUAGGCGGGGUAACGGCCCACCUAGUCUUCGAUGGAUAGGGGUUCUGAGAGGAAGGUCCCCCACAUUGGAACUGAGACACGGUCCAAACUCCUACGGGAGGCAGCAGUGAGGAAUAUUGGUCAAUGGGCGAGAGCCUGAACCAGCCAAGUAGCGUGAAGGAUGACUGCCCUAUGGGUUGUAAACUUCUUUUAUAAAGGAAUAAAGUCGGGUAUGCAUACCCGUUUGCAUGUACUUUAUGAAUAAGGAUCGGCUAACUCCGUGCCAGCAGCCGCGGUAAUACGGAGGAUCCGAGCGUUAUCCGGAUUUAUUGGGUUUAAAGGGAGCGUAGAUGGAUGUUUAAGUCAGUUGUGAAAGUUUGCGGCUCAACCGUAAAAUUGCAGUUGAUACUGGAUAUCUUGAGUGCAGUUGAGGCAGGCGGAAUUCGUGGUGUAGCGGUGAAAUGCUUAGAUAUCACGAAGAACUCCGAUUGCGAAGGCAGCCUGCUAAGCUGCAACUGACAUUGAGGCUCGAAAGUGUGGGUAUCAAACAGGAUUAGAUACCCUGGUAGUCCACACGGUAAACGAUGAAUACUCGCUGUUUGCGAUAUACUGCAAGCGGCCAAGCGAAAGCGUUAAGUAUUCCACCUGGGGAGUACGCCGGCAACGGUGAAACUCAAAGGAAUUGACGGGGGCCCGCACAAGCGGAGGAACAUGUGGUUUAAUUCGAUGAUACGCGAGGAACCUUACCCGGGCUUAAAUUGCAGAUGAAUUACGGUGAAAGCCGUAAGCCGCAAGGCAUCUGUGAAGGUGCUGCAUGGUUGUCGUCAGCUCGUGCCGUGAGGUGUCGGCUUAAGUGCCAUAACGAGCGCAACCCUUGUUGUCAGUUACUAACAGGUUCCGCUGAGGACUCUGACAAGACUGCCAUCGUAAGAUGUGAGGAAGGUGGGGAUGACGUCAAAUCAGCACGGCCCUUACGUCCGGGGCUACACACGUGUUACAAUGGGGGGUACAGAGGGCCGCUACCACGCGAGUGGAUGCCAAUCCCAAAAACCUCUCUCAGUUCGGACUGGAGUCUGCAACCCGACUCCACGAAGCUGGAUUCGCUAGUAAUCGCGCAUCAGCCACGGCGCGGUGAAUACGUUCCCGGGCCUUGUACACACCGCCCGUCAAGCCAUGGGAGCCGGGGGUACCUGAAGUGCGUAACCGCGAGGAGCGCCCUAGGGUAAAACUGGUGACUGGGGCUAAGUCAUAACA